GAUGAACGCUAGCGAUAGGCUUAACACAUGCAAGUCGAGGGGCAGCAUGGUCUUAGCUUGCUAAGACUGAUGGCGACCGGCGCACGGGUGCGUAACGCGUAUGCAACUUGCCUCACAGAGGGGGAUAACCCGUCGAAAGACGGACUAAUACCGCGUACACUUGGGAUAGGGCAUCCUGACCCAAGGAAAUGAAAUUCGCUGUGAGAUAGGCAUGCGUCCCAUUAGCUAGUUGGUGAGGUAACGGCUCACCAAGGCGACGAUGGGUAGGGGAACUGAGAGGUUGAAUCCCCACACUGGUACUGAGACACGGACCAGACUCGUACGGGAGGCAGCAGUGAGGAAUAUUGGUCAAUGGGCGAGAGCCUGAACCAGCCAAGUCGCGUGAAGGAUGACUGUCUUAUGGAUUGUAAACUUCUUUUAUACGGGAAUAACAAGAGCCACGUGUGGCUCCCUGCAUGUACCGUAUGAAUAAGCAUCGGCUAACUCCGUG
Molecule: ribosomal RNA, 490 nt
Filed under: uncultured bacterium
Lineage: Bacteria
Description: partial 16S ribosomal RNA
Rfam family: Bacterial small subunit ribosomal RNA
Source: RNAcentral